CACGUAGGCACCAAGCGUUGUCCGGAUUUAUUGGGCGUAAAGGGCGCGUAGGCGGCCCGCUAAGUCGAACGUGAAAUCCCCGGGCUCAACCCGGGAACUGCGUCCGAUACUGGUGGGCUUGAAUCCGGGAGAGGGAUGCGGAAUUCCAGGUGUAGCGGUGAAAUGCGUAGAUAUCUGGAGGAACACCGGUGGCGAAGGCGGCAUCCUGGACCGGUAUUGACGCUGAGGCGCGAAAGCCAGGGGAGCAAACGGG
RNAcentral lists this ribosomal RNA (253 nucleotides) under uncultured bacterium. RNAcentral describes it as "partial 16S ribosomal RNA". It matches the Rfam family "Bacterial small subunit ribosomal RNA", at positions 524 to 776 of the family's 1533-position model. The record is from RNAcentral.